UCGCACACGUGCCCUCCCUCCUUCUCUCUUCCUUGGACCUAGGUCCACUCCUCCUACGAUAGCGUAAUUUCUCCAUCUUCACUACUCCCUGCUCGUUUUUCAGAUCCAAUAAGGAUUCUCCGUCUAUCUGCUUCCCAUGCCGAUAAGGACCUCCACCUUGGCUCUCUGCUCCGACGAUGAUGGCUUUUAAUGGCUGGGCUCUUGUCGAAGCUCC
This 214-nucleotide long non-coding RNA is filed under the name Manihot esculenta (cassava). Its description in RNAcentral is "long non-coding RNA (MESC_LNC003426)". Lineage: Eukaryota; Viridiplantae; Streptophyta; Magnoliopsida; Malpighiales; Euphorbiaceae. The record is from RNAcentral.